GAAAAGCUACAGAGAACAGACAGCAGGACGUGACCAGACUUGCUGAGAGAGGAACACGAGGAGUUCGGUCUGAAGAACACGGAACACAGCGCGACUCUGGAAAUGUCACAUACUGUGAUUAAAGCUCAGAGUGACACUGAAUCUGUGGCUGAAGGAUCGAGCGACGGAGGGUCAUUCAUUUACUUUGAAAGACUCCAAACUCUGAGUCAGGAUAUUUAUACUGGAACAGGGAUUUACCACAAACCACAAAUCCCUGAACAACACGACGGGGUGGAUUCAGGGUCUGAGACGAGGAACAGGAGUCAAACUGAAGAGUGUAAAAUGGUGAAACCAGGCAUGUUCAGCUGCUCGCACACACAGGCGGUGAGAAAGUGCCAAGAACCAGCAUCAGUCCAUCUG
This is a long non-coding RNA of Solea senegalensis (Senegalese sole), 399 nucleotides long. RefSeq lists it as uncharacterized. The transcript is spliced from 3 exons. NCBI's taxonomy places the organism in Eukaryota, Metazoa, Chordata, Actinopteri, Pleuronectiformes, Soleidae. The record is from RefSeq and is a predicted model, not a curated record.